This is a long non-coding RNA of Nicotiana tabacum (common tobacco), 1237 nucleotides long. RefSeq lists it as uncharacterized. The record is from RefSeq and is a predicted model, not a curated record. NCBI's taxonomy places the organism in Eukaryota, Viridiplantae, Streptophyta, Magnoliopsida, Solanales, Solanaceae.
CCCACUAAGCCGUCGAUGCAUCCAAAGCAUCAGAUAUCCCGAAUCAAAACCUAUUCUUUCACUAAAUCCUCUUCUCUCACAAAAUCAUCUCUUCUCUUUCACUUUAAACUUCCAAAAUCCUUCCUCUUACAACAGUCAAGGCAUCACUGACUCAAGUCUUCAUUUCCCCCAAAGAUUUCCUCAGUAUCAUAGUAGAAGUUGAUUCGGUUGUUUCGAGGCUGACGGCGAGUACUUCCCCAAACCAGGUGUUCUUCCAAAUUCCUAAAUCCAACACCAGUGUUUCGAGGCUGACGGCGACGGAUAUCUAUGGAUGAUGGUGAUAAAUGUGUUAGAGGAUCAUUUGGUUGUUCAUGGAUUUGUUGAUGGUUUUACCAAAUGGGUUUUCCACGGGGAAGGAUUUUCCUCGAGAAAUACACCUCAUCCAAGCAAUGAUGAUGAAGAUUCUACCAAGUGUGAUGAUAUUGAUGGACUACUACAUGAUACAUUUAGAAAUAUAGACGGUCAUGAUACCAGUAGAAGCUUCCUCUGCACAACAAGCUCAUGUUCAACUAAACAAUAGACCAUCUGCUGGUAGUAACAUUCAAGGUCAGUACGUACCAAAUUUUAUACAUCUUCUUCUAUUUCUUCUUCUUCUCCUCUUUCCUUGUGCUUCUUCUUCUACCACUUCUCUCUUUCUCUCUCUCGCAAAGUCUGAAUAGUCUAGUAAUUUUUUUACUUUGCCUAUGGCACUUAGUCGUUGCAUAAUUCUGUGGUUGCCUAGCUAGUGUCAUUACUAUGAUGCAUAUUCUUGUAUGUUACCUUACCGGCUCUUUGUUGUUGUAUAGUCGCUGCGUAAUUCUGCGCUAAUUGGUAAAGUUGUUGCAUGAGGAAGAAGAUAUUCUGGGUAAAAGUCUGAUUUAUUUAAGGAUUCUAUCUUAGUGGCUUUUACAUAUUUUAGCCUUUAGGGAGGAACAAAUUCUAAAGAUUCUAUCUUGGGCCUAUGUUGGAUUUGUUAUAGAAGCUAAAUAGAAAGUUGGGGUGGACUUAAAAAGUUGUCUGUAGUAUUGCCUGAACUAACUUCUAAAAGAAAUACUGUACUUAUUUAAUGUUUGGAAGCUUUGAGAAAAUGUUCAGCUUUUUUUUGGGUGACUGACUUUCAAAUGUUUGAGAGGAAAGACUUAGAACAUAGAGUUUGUUCUAAGUCCUUAUGUUUGUAUGGUGCCUACAGAAUAUUCAAACUUUCUUGCCUUUAUUUCAA